GAGAUGAUUUGUCAUUGUUUUUGCCAGUUCCUGCUGCACAGCAGGGAGCUCAGGAAGAAAGAAGGGAGUGUGUUCAUAACAAUUUCUCUCCUUCUUGAAAACCUGUUAUCUGUGCAACUGGUGUAAGCUGACUUCCCUCUAAAACUGGAGGAUGGGUUGUUCAUGUUACAAUUUAUGGGGUGCUUAUCCACAGACUUCAGUUUGCAGGCAGAGAACAGAACUCUUAUCAGGGACCAUUCUCUUCGGCUGUCCUUCUGUUGGUCUUGGAUAUCAACAUCGGUACAGGACCAAUGUCACACGUUUGGAAUGAGAAUAGCAUCCCACUUCUUCAUGUGGGUCCUUCAGCUCUGUGAUCUCCCUGCUGAACAGCUGUCAAUCCCAGGCCAGUGACAGAGGAAGCCCGGAGAGGAGACUUCACAGCAGUCUGCCCUCAGGAAAUGGUAUGUGCAAAUACACACUCCCAGAGUAGCAAUCCUGGGGGCAGCUCCUAUAUGCUAUUAUUUAAAAGAGUAUCUGUACCACUAUUUUUAUUACUAAAACUACCGCUACUGCUGCUACUACUGUAGUAGUACCACUACUGACUGCUGCCAUUAUAAUUUACCUUUAUAUUCUGUUCCAGUCACAUGCUAAGUACUGUACUUAUGUCUUUUAAAUCUCACAACUCCCUAUAAAGUUGGUUUUGUUGUAAUUCCUGUUAAUCAUACCAGGAUAUUGAUGUUUGCGGAUCCUAACUGACUUGCAUAAGGUCAACCCAGUGGAUAAAGGGCAGAGCUGGGCUGUGACAAAUCCAGAUGAGUCUGAAAACUGCGAAGAGGCUAAUUAGCAUUGGAAUCUACAGAUGGGGUGUGCGUAAUUGUUUUGCCCUGGUUAGUUUUAAGGAUGGCCAAUUUCCCUUCCUGACAGCUAUUCCUUGUCUUCUCCUUGUUCUCCAGUGACAUCAAACUAUUUCAAGUUGCUCACCAAGGUCUCAUAAUUGGAUCCUUGCUUACUUCUCAUCUCGCAACACUGUCUACCUUGUCUUCUAGGCUCUAGCUAAAUUUGAGCAAGAUCUUUACAAAAAUUCACUCCCUGGAGGAACUCACUGAGCUGCCUGCUUUACAAUUCUGUUUGUUCUGUGUCAUUUUCAGCUCUUGCAUUAAACAGAUUCUAA
This 1150-nucleotide long non-coding RNA is filed under the name Papio anubis (olive baboon). RNAcentral describes it as "lncRNA (ENSPANG00000049071.1)". Lineage: Eukaryota; Metazoa; Chordata; Mammalia; Primates; Cercopithecidae. The record is from RNAcentral.